CGGGCCGUAGUAUACCGGUAGUACACGCGAUUCGGGUUCGCGUAGACUGGGUUCGAUUCCCAGCGGCCCGA
This 71-nucleotide transfer RNA is filed under the name Candidatus Nomurabacteria bacterium RIFCSPLOWO2_01_FULL_46_18. RNAcentral describes it as "tRNA-Pro". It matches the Rfam family "tRNA". From Rfam's summary of the family: Transfer RNA (tRNA) molecules are approximately 80 nucleotides in length. Their secondary structure includes four short double-helical elements and three loops (D, anti-codon, and T loops). Lineage: Bacteria; Candidatus Nomuraibacteriota. The record is from RNAcentral.